Molecule: ribosomal RNA, 774 nt
Filed under: uncultured Neocallimastigales
Lineage: Eukaryota; Fungi; Neocallimastigomycota; Neocallimastigomycetes; Neocallimastigales
Description: partial large subunit ribosomal RNA
Rfam family: Eukaryotic large subunit ribosomal RNA
Source: RNAcentral
GUAGUCUCGCACAGAUGCAUAUCAAUAAGCGGAGGAAAAGAAACUAACAAGGAUUCCCCUAGUAACGGCGAGUGAAGCGGGAAGAGCUCAAAUUUGAAAUCUUAAAGGGUUUCCCUUUACGAAUUGUAGUUUAAAGAAGUGUUUUCUGUUGAGGUUUAGGUAAAAGUUCUUUGGAAUAGGACAUCAUAGAGGGUGAGAAUCCCGUAUUUGACCUUUACUUUCAACUUUGUGAUACACUUUCAAAGAGUCGGAUUGUUUGGGAAUGCAGUCCAAAAUGGGUGGUAAAUUUCAUCUAAAGCUAAAUAUUGGCGAGAGACCGAUAGCGAACAAGUACCGUGAGGGAAAGAUGAAAAGAACUUUGAAAAGAGAGUUAAACAGUACGUGAAAUUGUCAAAAGGGAAGCGUUUGACACCAGUGUUGUUUUUCUGAAAAUCAAUUAAAGAACUGUUUAUGCUAAGUUGUUUAGACUUUAUCAGCUAUCUGUUUAGUUUUGAGCUUUUCUUUAAUGCACUUUUCAGUUAACAAGUCAACAUCAAUUUCUUUUGCUGUAAAAAAGCUUGAGGAAGGUGGCUUGAGAUUCGUCUUAAGUGUUUAUAGCCUCUUGCCUAUGCAGUCGGAGAGAUUGAGGUCUGCAGCGUAGAUCCUUCGGGGCUAAAUGCAUUUGUGCUAAGUUAUAGCAUUUCAUAGACAACUUGUUGACUAUGAUUUGUCUUGUAGCUUACUCGCUUAUGUUAUUUUACCUACGCUUAGGAUGUUGACAGCAGUAUAGACUGU